This 483-nucleotide ribosomal RNA is filed under the name Triticum aestivum (bread wheat). Its description in RNAcentral is "partial small subunit ribosomal RNA". Lineage: Eukaryota; Viridiplantae; Streptophyta; Magnoliopsida; Poales; Poaceae. The record is from RNAcentral.
AAAAGUUGGGCACUUUUGAAGUGUAAAAUCUUCAUCUGGCUGGCUGUGCAGCACCGUAUUUGGACCUCUGACCGAAGGGCAAAGCAUGGAUUACAAGACCGACCGUCUUCAUGCUACACAUGCUUGCAAGAUGAAGACAAUGCCGAACACAUCUUGGUACAAUGUGGCUAUGCUCGACAGGUGUGGCACACCUGCUUUCAAGACCUAGCCCUAAAUACGCGGGCUCCGGUGGUGGAUGAUACCUUCCUUGAUUGGUGGAUCGAGACUAGGACGGGGAUGCCUAAGGGUAUUAAGAGAGGCUACGACACGUUCGUCAUCGUGGUCGGAUGGGAGUUGUGGAAGCAACGAAACGCGCGUGUGUUCAAUAGGCUACAACAACAGCGAACCCCAAGAGAAUUGGUUGACGAGAUAUUCAGAGCAGUAAAGAAAUGGAGACAAGCCGGUGUAGGAGUUGGAGGUUUAACACAUUUUGUGAGAGAGUAG